GACAUAGGUCGCAAACGUUAUCCGGAAUUAUUGGGCGUAAAGGAUGCGUAGAUGGUUCAGUAAGUUACUGGUGGGAAAUCGAGGCCCAACCUCGUGGAAGUUAGUAAUACUGUUGAACUUGAGUGCAGGAGAGGUUAACGGAACUUCAUGUGGAGCGGUAAAAUGCGUAGAUAUCGUAAGGAAGACCAGUGGCGAAGGCGGGUCUCUGGACAGUUCCUGACGCUGAGGCACGAAGGCCAGGGGAGCAAACGGG
RNAcentral lists this ribosomal RNA (253 nucleotides) under uncultured bacterium. RNAcentral describes it as "partial 16S ribosomal RNA". It matches the Rfam family "Bacterial small subunit ribosomal RNA", at positions 524 to 776 of the family's 1533-position model. The record is from RNAcentral.